This 625-nucleotide ribosomal RNA is filed under the name Sporisorium pseudechinolaenae. Its description in RNAcentral is "LSU rRNA". It matches the Rfam family "Eukaryotic large subunit ribosomal RNA", at positions 53 to 658 of the family's 3401-position model. Lineage: Eukaryota; Fungi; Basidiomycota; Ustilaginomycetes; Ustilaginales; Ustilaginaceae. The record is from RNAcentral.
GAGGAAAAGAAACUAACAAGGAUUCCCCUAGUACGGCGAGUGAAGAGGGAAGAGCCCAAGAUUGAAAGCUGGCGUCUUCGGCGUCCGCAUUGUAAUCUCAAGAAGCGUUUUCCGCUUCGGACCAUGCCUAAGUCCCUUGGAAAAGGGCAUCAUAGAGGGUGAUAAUCCCGUACAUGGCAUGGAGCGCCCGAAGCUUUGUGAUACGUUUUCUAAGAGUCGAGUUGUUUGGGAAUGCAGCUCAAAAUGGGUGGUAAAUGCCAUCUAAGGCUAAAUAUUGGGGAGAGACCGAUAGCGAACAAGUACAGUGAUGGAAAGAUGAAAAGAACUUUGAAAAGAGAGUUAAACAGUACGUGAAAUUGCCAAAAGGGAAGGGUAGGAGGUCAGAGAUGCGUCUUGGAAUUCAGCCUUGCUUUUCGCUUGGUGUUUUUUCCAAGUUUGCAGGCCAACGUCGGUUUUGGGCACUGGAGAAGGGUGGAAGGAACGUGGCACCCCUCGGGGUGUGUUAUAGCCUUCUACUGGAUACAGCGACCGAGACCGAGGACAGCAGCGUACUCGCAAGAGCGGGCCCUCGGGCACCUUUACGCUUAGGGCGUUGGCAUAAUGGCCCUCUACCACCCGUCUUGAA